AUUCGAAACGAAAUCUCCCAUCCCGACCUGAAAUGAAAACGUGCAGAAAUCGAAAACCCUAACCUUCCUUAUGUUCUUCCUUAUGUUCUUCAUCAGUUCUCACAACUGAAAUCGAAAACCUCUCAACUCAGUUCAUCAGUCAUCGUAAGUUUAGUGUUCUGCUUCGAGCCCUCCUGCGUCGAGCUCGAUCAUCACAAGUUUCGUCUUCUCCUUUGAGCGGUAGAGUCGGCUCCAUCCUCUUCUCCUUCGAGUGGCAGAGUCCAUACUAGAGUCCUUCCUCUUCUCCUUCGAGCGACAAAGUCCAAAGUCUCAGAAGAUUCCUCUUCUCCUUCCGUCAUUCGAGCGGCAGCUUCUGUGAUUGCAGAGUCUAGACCAAAGUCUCCAGCGUCCAGACUGACGAUGGUGCGGCAACGGUUCGAGCUCGGUUGAUUUGCACGGUGACUUGUUGUUGCUGAAUGCUGAGGGAUUGGUUGGUUAUUUUUGUUGAAAAUGAAGAUUGAAAUGCACGUAGACUUCUUGUUGCUGAAUGCGAGUUAUUUUUUAUGGUUGGUUUUGCUGAGAUUCUGAUAAUGAAAUGCUCGGUGAAUUCUGCACAGUGAAUGCUGAGGCUUUUUUUUUUUUAACUUUGCUGGUUAUGGCUAUCUGAAUACGUGCUUGAUGAAAGACAAUAUUUUGGAUGUUUUUCAUUUUGCCUAAUACGCCUCCUAUGAGGCAAGAAAUUGGAUUAAGGAUGUAUAUGCCCUGCGAGGGAUUCUUUUGUUGCAAACAAGGGUGCUUCAUGUAAGAGUUUGGUGUAACAUUUUUUAUUCAUGAUGUAAGAGCUACUAUUUUGGAACUUAAUGCAGUAAUGCUUUUGACAUUA
Punica granatum (pomegranate) is the source of this 862-nucleotide non-coding RNA. The record is from RefSeq and is a predicted model, not a curated record. NCBI's taxonomy places the organism in Eukaryota, Viridiplantae, Streptophyta, Magnoliopsida, Myrtales, Lythraceae.